UACAGCCAUAUCAUGUUGAAACACAGGUUCUCAUACUAUCUCAGCAGUUAAGCAACCCCGAGCUCGGUCAGUACCUAGAUGGUGUACCGCUUGGGAACAUCAGUUACUGUAAG
This is a non-coding RNA of Acanthosepion pharaonis, 113 nucleotides long. The record is from the annotation of a GenBank genome assembly. NCBI's taxonomy places the organism in Eukaryota, Metazoa, Mollusca, Cephalopoda, Sepiida, Sepiidae.